This 253-nucleotide ribosomal RNA is filed under the name uncultured bacterium. RNAcentral's name for it is "partial 16S ribosomal RNA". It matches the Rfam family "Bacterial small subunit ribosomal RNA", at positions 524 to 776 of the family's 1533-position model. The record is from RNAcentral.
UACGUAGGGAGCAAGCGUUGUCCGGAAUCAUUGGGCGUAAAGCGCGCGUAGGCGGCCCUGUAAGUCCGUUGUGAAAGUCAAAGGCUCAACCUUUGAAAGCCGAUGGAUACUGCAGGGCUAGAGUCCGGAAGAGGCGAGUGGAAUUCCUGGUGUAGCAGUGAAAUGCGUAGAGAUCAUGAGGAAGACCAGUGGCGAAGGCGGGUCUCUGGACAGUUCCUGACACUGUGACACGAAGGCCAGGGGAGCAAACGGG